Long non-coding RNA from Gossypium arboreum, 472 nucleotides. RefSeq lists it as uncharacterized. The record is from RefSeq and is a predicted model, not a curated record. NCBI's taxonomy places the organism in Eukaryota, Viridiplantae, Streptophyta, Magnoliopsida, Malvales, Malvaceae. The transcript has 4 exons.
GAAUGAAAUUGAAACGAAACAGAGAAGAACCAGGGGAGAAAGAAAGAAAGAAAAAGAAAAAGGAAAAUUUAGGGUUUGAAGGUUCAAAGUUAAUUUGGCAAUGUGGUACCGGAAAUCUCGGCUAAGAAAGGACAAGACAAAGUAAACGGGAGUUAGCUCGAAAAUUACAGUUAAGUUGAGGCUAGACUGUUGAAUCAGCAUCCCAGGCCGAUCCCGAAUUCAAUGAGUAUUGGCAGGUCGGCUCGGGGUUGGAGAUCGUCGGAGGCAAAAUCACACUAUCAAACUAUCAUUUUUAGGAGAAUUAGUUCAAAUUUUAGAAAUAUCAAGUGAAUGGCAUGUAUAGGAAGUUGGUUUGUGAUAUGUAUUAUUAUUAUGACUUUGACCAUACAUAUCAGUCUGCAUUGAGUUAUCGUAUAUGAUCAUGAGAUGUGGUCCUUAUCCAUUAUGGUUUAUAAGUUUAAUUAAUCAUGCC